This 347-nucleotide transfer-messenger RNA is filed under the name Deinococcus koreensis. Its description in RNAcentral is "Standard tmRNA". It matches the Rfam family "transfer-messenger RNA". Rfam says of the family: Bacterial tmRNA, also known as 10Sa RNA or SsrA, is named for its dual tRNA and mRNA-like properties. Its role is to liberate the mRNA from a stalled ribosome. Lineage: Bacteria; Thermotogati; Deinococcota; Deinococci; Deinococcales; Deinococcaceae. The record is from Rfam by way of RNAcentral.
GGGGGUGACCCGGUUUCGACAGGGGAACUGCAGGCGCUGCUGCGUGUCGAGGUGCCGUUGGCUUCGUUAAACACGGCAAAGCCAUUAACUGGCAACCAGAACUACGCUCUCGCUGCUUAAGUGAGACAGUGACCGCCUAGCCCGGCCUUUGGCGCGGCGCGAACUGAAACAAAAGAAGGCUAGCCCAGGCGAGGUUCCAUAGCCAAAGGCGAAAACAAGUGGAAAUACGGCUCGGUGAAACCCGCCCACUGGUGGCACCCGGCCCGACAAUCAAAGAGCGGGAUACACACGUAGACGCACGCUGAACGGACUCUUGGACGGCGGUUCGACUCCGCCCACCUCCACCA